ACAGUAUGCACUGUGAGCCUGACACAGAAGCUGGCAGCAGUGGCAGACAACUAAGUGCAAUUACAUUACAUAGAAAUUUUUUUUUAAAAAAAGCAUACCCUAACCCUAACCUAGCUAUGCUUUUCCCUAUCUAAUGAACAGCAGCUACACUUUCCCUCCUCUUACUAAGCAUGCAGCUUGAGAAUGAAUCUAAAAUGGAUGCUGUCACGGCAAG
Non-coding RNA from Pelobates cultripes (western spadefoot toad), 214 nucleotides. NCBI's taxonomy places the organism in Eukaryota, Metazoa, Chordata, Amphibia, Anura, Pelobatidae. The record is from the annotation of a GenBank genome assembly.